Molecule: ribosomal RNA, 375 nt
Filed under: uncultured bacterium
Lineage: Bacteria
Description: bacterial SSU rRNA
Rfam family: Bacterial small subunit ribosomal RNA
Source: RNAcentral
GAUAAACGCUGGCGGCGUGCUUCAGGCAUGCAAGUCGAACGGGUGUCUACCUUCGGGUAGCCACUAGUGGCGGACGGGUGAGUAACGCGUUAGCAACCUGCCCAAAGGUGGGGAAUAACUAACCGAAAGGUUAGCUAAUACCGCAUGUGAUAGCUGGUUCUUGGACUGGUUAUGAAAGGCUUCGGUCGCCUUUGGAGGGGCUUGCGUCAGAUUAGCUUGUUGGUGGGGUAAUGGCCUACCAAAGCGACGAUCUGUAGCUGGUCUGAGAGGAUGGUCAGCCACACGGGGACUGAGAUACGGCCCCGACUCCUACGGGAGGCAGCAGCUAGGAAUCUUGGGAAUGGGCGAAAGCCUGACCCAGCAACGCCGCGUGGG